GAAGAAGUACCGUGAGGGAAAGUUGAAAAGAACCCCGGGAGGGGAGUGAAAUAGAACCUGAAACCCUAUGUUUACAAGCAGACAAAGAGCGUUAAGGCUCGAUGUCGUACUUUUUGUAGAACGGUCCGGCGAGUUAUUGUAUGGUGCGAGGUUAAGUACUAAGUAAGGUACGGAGCCGAAGGGAAACCGAGUCUGAAAAGGGCGAAAGAAAGAGUACCAUGUAAUAGACCCGAAACCGAGUGACCUAUCCAUGAGCAGGUUGAAGCUUGAGUAAAAUCAAGUGGAGGACCGAACCGAACUGGUAUCCGUUGAAAAGGGUUCAGAUGACUUGUGGAUAGCGGAGAAAUUCCAAUCGAACUCGGAGAUAGCUGGUUCUCCUCGAAAUAGCUUUAGGGCUAGCCUUGAUUAGUAGCGUGUGGAGGUAAAGCACUGAAUGUGUGCGGGGUCUUACCAGAUUACCAAACACUAUUAAACUCUGAAUGCCAUACGUGUAAGAUCAGGAGUCAGACAGUGGGAGCUAAGUUCCAUUGUCAAAAGGGAAAGAGCCCAGACCAACAGCUAAGGUCCCAAAAUUAUAGUUAAGUGGAAAAGGAUGUGGGAAUGCAAAGACAGCCAGGAUGUUGGCUUAGAAGCAGCCAUUCAUUUAAAGAGUGCGUAAUAGCUCACUGGUCGAGUGAGUCCGCGCCGAAAAUUACCGGGGCUAAACUAUAUACCGAAGCUUUGGAUUGUAUACUAAAGUAUGCAGUGGUAGAGGAGCGUUGUGUUAAGGAAGAAGCUGUACCGAAAGGAGCAGUGGACUGAUCACAAGAGAGAAUGCCGGAAUAAGUAGCGAGAGCAAGGUGAGAAUCCUUGCCGUCGAAAACCUAAGGUUUCCUGGGGAAGGUUCGUCCGCCCAGGGUAAGUCGGGACCUAAGACGAGGCCGAAAGGCGUAGCCGAUGGACAGCAGGUAAAAGAUUCCUGCACUACCGAUACGUAUUGAAUUAGUUGGGACACAUAAAUGGAGUCUGUGCGAGCAAAUGGAAAAGUUCGUACCGCAAGGUAUAGUGAAAAUAGUAGCGAAUCAGGUAAAAUUUGUGGCGAGAAAAGCAACUAAGGAGCGUAGAGGUACCCGUACCGCAAACCGACACAGGUAGGUGGAAAGAAAAUUUUCAGACGAACGAGAGAAGCAUUGUUAAGGAACUCGGCAAAUUGACCCCGUAACUUAGGGAGAAGGGGUGCCAACAGAGAUGUUGGCCGCAGAGAAUAGGCCCAAGCAACUGUUUAACAAAAACACAGGUUUCUGCGAAAUCGAAAGAUGACGUAUAGGAGCUGACGCCUGCCCAGUGCUGGAAGGUCAAGGGGAAGAGUAAUCGCACAAGUGAGAAGCUCUGAACUUAAGCCCCAGUGAACGGCGGCCGUAACUAUAACGGUCCUAAGGUAGCGAAAUUCCUUGUCAGGUAAGUUCUGACCCGCACGAAUGGCGUAAUGAUUUGGGC
Molecule: ribosomal RNA, 1476 nt
Filed under: feces metagenome
Description: bacterial LSU rRNA
Rfam family: Bacterial large subunit ribosomal RNA
Source: RNAcentral